Molecule: small RNA, 684 nt
Filed under: Histoplasma capsulatum
Lineage: Eukaryota; Fungi; Ascomycota; Eurotiomycetes; Onygenales; Ajellomycetaceae
Also listed under: 1 other name
Description: hypothetical RNA
Source: RNAcentral
CCAGCUCAACCAAUGACAAAUCGAAAUCUCUCUCUUCAAAGCUCUCCUACAAUACUCUAUUCCCUGUCUCACGGAUCCUAGCCUACUUUUGACAUAUGGAAACUUUGCAACAGGCAACCGCGAAGCCAGUACCGGGCGGGAGGAAUUUGAAAGGAAAAUGAAACCAGCCGCCCGGCCCGAUCUUUGCUGAGACUGCCCGUGCGAGAAUCAGCAGAUUCCUCAUCAAAAGCCCACAACAAAUGCAACCAAGGCACUUGUACAUGUAUGGAAUAUUUAUGUCGCAGCAGUACAACAAAUGAUGUACUCUGCAAGUACCGUACAUCGUACAUGACAUCUACUUGGUCAGCCCAUGUUCGUUUACACACAUACAAACUUUUCAUAAAUUUAUUCUCACAACGACCAUAGUUGAAGUACCCAUGAUGCUUGUAAUAUGCGGACAAAUACGUCGUACAUAUGAACCCAGAGUUAAAAGCAAAAUUGUGCCCACAUGUUACCAUGUCUGCAAAUUCUGCUGUGAUACACUUGUUCAGAAUUCGAGGGUGAUGACAGGGAAACAGCAUUUACGGUAGCAUGCCAUAAUCCUACAAACUCUAGCUCUCAUAUUCAUUCUUAUCUUCUACUACUUCAGAUUUGUUCGCGAUAUUUCCUUAAUGUUGCGUGAUCUGUUGCUUUUCUUCUCGGGCA